This is a long non-coding RNA of Felis catus (domestic cat), 758 nucleotides long. RefSeq lists it as uncharacterized. NCBI's taxonomy places the organism in Eukaryota, Metazoa, Chordata, Mammalia, Carnivora, Felidae. The transcript has 7 exons. The record is from RefSeq and is a predicted model, not a curated record.
AGUUUGAUAUCUAACUGACAUAAUAAACUGCAUGCAUUUGAAGUAUGAAGUUUGAUAUGUUUUGAAAUACAUAUAUACCUGUGAAAUCAUAACGACAGUCAAGAGGGUGUAUAUAUUCGUCACUUUCAAAAGUCUUCUACUGCCUUUCCCUGAGUCCUCCAAAGCAACUAUAGGUUAGUUGGAACUUUCUAAAACCAUGUGAAAAUGCAGUCACACGGCUACUGUUGACCUUCUGACAAUACACAAGGAGGUAUGAAGGAGGAUCAUUCGCUUCUGGACCAUGGUUAACUAUAGGGAUCAAGACAGGAAGGGGAAUAGUGGUUCAAGAUAAAAGACCUGGAGUAUAUAGUGCUACCACUAAGGAACCUCUGUGCUGACCCAGCAGUACUCAGUGUGAGAAUCCUUCAGACUGCAACAGGAUCCACCACCCUUUCUGGGAAGGAAGAGCUUGGGCUCUCUGCUUGGGAAGGAGCAAUGUAUUUAAAUUUGGUGGCUGCUGCUUAAAUGAAUAGGUCCCUGUACAGUAGGAAACAGCAUCUGGCGCAGUCCCUCUUCAGGGCUGAAGAUCAAGCACACACUCCGCUGGAGGCCUUCUGUGAUCCCAACACCUCCCUCAGAUGGAGCAGAACUUGUCUGCCCUCCUCAGCACAUCAGCCCUAAUGAUGCUGAAGUCCAUGAAAGAUAAUUGCCUUGAGUCAUUCUCUAGCCACAGAGAAGAGAGAGACAGAGCAUGAACGGGGGAGGGGCAGAGAGAGAGG